RNAcentral lists this long non-coding RNA (4206 nucleotides) under Mus musculus (house mouse). RNAcentral describes it as "long non-coding RNA chrX:144930256-144934462". The record is from RNAcentral. Lineage: Eukaryota; Metazoa; Chordata; Mammalia; Rodentia; Muridae.
UACAAGUUUGUGGGAGUAACAAACCAAUAUCUGAUUUGACUGAAGGCCUCCUUCAUGAGAUGGAACCCAUACCUAACAAUGCUUGGGCAAAAAAAGGAUCUGGGACUAAUGGCCUAGGGACCUAGGGCAAAACCAAAUACUAUUGUUUUAAAAAUAUAAAACAAAACAAAAUCAUAGCAAUAUAAUUUGUUUCUUAUGAUAUUCUGCUAUAUUCAUAGUUCAGUACCUUGCUCGGUCUUCAUGAGAGAAAUUUCCACCUGCAGCAGAUAGGAAUAAAUACCUAGACCAAUAGUCAGACAUACAGAGUGAGAAACCUUGGAACACUUAUCCCUAAAUGGAAUUACUUCAUCAAGUGUGGCCCCUCAGUGUUCAGGGAACCCUUCAAAGGAGGAAGUAGAGAGAGUGUAGGAGCUGGAGGAGAUGAAGGACACCUUGGAAAGAAGCCCUCUAAACCCACAGGGUUGAUGCACAAAUGAACUCACAGAGACUGAGGUAGCAUGCACACAGCUACUGGGCUCUGCACCAGAUGGGCUCCUAGAGGUGAUAGGGGAUCUGCACACAUACUCCUCGCAUCCCUAAACCAGAAACAAUCUCCAACUGAUCAGCACUUGCAUAUGAAAAUGUAGUUUCCUCUAAGGGAACCUCACUGGGGAAAUAAAUUACUUUUAAUGAUAGGCUACAAGCCCAGCAAUAGAUGGCCAACCGAAAAUGAAUUCAGCAGCAUCUUUGGAGGUUUCUUAUCUCAAUGGCAUGUCAAGGCUGUCUCUACUCUAGAGGCAGUGGGACCUGAGAGAGUGGAGUACAUAAACAGGGUAGAGCAAAGUUUCAUGCACUAGCCAACUACGUUCGAGGCUUCAGAUGAUUUAUUUAUACUUUGAAGGUUAAGAAAAAUAAUCAGACAAGUAAAAUUCUCAUGGGUUCAGGCUGUAUACAGCCACAAAGAAAAGCUGCGUGGGGCAAAAACAUGUUUUUCCAUACAGGCUUUCCAUAGAAAGGAUAGCUUAAACAUUUAAUUGAUUAACAACAGCAAACAAUAAUGAUUUAUUUGAAGUAAACUCAUUCCUAUCAGUUACACCUGGGAGAAACAUGAAACCACAUUUCAAGAACAAUUUCAUGUUUUGAAGAAACUGAGGUCACAAGACUCUUGUCUUCUUUUAUUAGAGUGUUCUCACAAGUACUCAGAAUUCCCUUUGUGUGAUGACAUUCUUGGACUAUCGCAUGACAGGACUCUUUUUGGUUGUUUUUAGGGGGUGGGACUAUUUUGUUUGUUCGUUGAUACAUAUUGUGCUUCUCCUGUUUUUAUAUUACAGGUCCUCUGUAUAUAUUAUGGCUUCUCAUUUCAUGGUUUUAUGGGAUUUCUGAGUGUGCAAACAAGUGGGUCUCCAUUUCUUGUGCCUUUUCUUGGGCUCUUUUGCUUCUCUUUGUUUUGUCCUAUUCCAAUAUUUUAAUCUUUGUUUUACCUUAUAGUAUUUUAUUUUAUUAUUAUUCCAGAGAAGACUUUGUUUUCUUGUGAGAGAGAAAGGGAACGGAUGCAGAUGCGAGGGGUCGGAUCUGGGAGGAGUAGAGGGAGGGGGAACCUUUCUGGUUGACUUCAUUAUUCUGUUGCUCUUGCAACAGAGUAAAUAAACAUAAUAACUUUUGGACGGGACAGCAAUUUGAAAACCAAUUCUCACAAAUGGGCCUAAGCAUAGAAAAUUUUGCAUAUUCAGCUGUCUCCAAGGUCCAUAUUUCUUACUAAAUCAUUGGUACAGAAAACUUUUUAAAAAUUAUUUAUUUUAGUUUAGUUUAAAUUUAUUAACUUUUCUUUUUUUAAUUUCUAACAUUUUUUGUUUUGAUUUUUGUUUUUAAUUUAAUUUUAUCUCCACAUAGAUGCCCAAGAUGCUAUCUAAUUAUGUUCUUUGCUUUGUGCUGGUGGAAGGAAGCCAGUGGUUUAUUAAUAGAUUCCAAAAGGUUUUUAUUUAUAAGACACAAGAUAAUAUUUCCAAUGGAUAAGUGGCUAGAACUAGUCCAAGAUAAGGUAAUUGGCCUCUAGAUUUGCAACAUUCCCAUCUUUCCAUAGUAUUGGAAUUUUAAUGGGCCAACCAGUCUCUGCCGACACACCUCCUUUUUGUGAGUUUUCCUUCUCACUAUUUAUGAACUAGUUAGUGAAUGAAAUUAAAACUCUGUUGAAAUACACUUUGAACUUUGUGUAUUAUUCAGAAUAUUUAUGAGGACAGGGAACUCUAUAUUGUGUCCCCUUUGAACACUGUCAUUGUGCUAAGUAUCUGACAGAUAUCUGAGAAGCUCUUAUAGAGUAAACUUGUUUUCGGAUCCUGGUUGUGAGGACUACCAGAAUUUUCAUCAAUUACUGAAGUAGGUUUUGGAGCCAUAGGUGGGUACAGGUUCUUCUAAAGACACAUAAGGCUCUGACAUGCUUUCCAUAGUGAUUCUACUUUGCAACACUCUCCAGAAAGUCUAGCUUCAUGCAAAGAAGCAGCGAACCUGCAUCCCAUAGACAGUCUUGCACUGAUUCAGAUGACCCAGUACGAAUCUCUCCAUUUCCCCAGGCCUUUGGGAGCUCCCCUGUAAAACCAAGGUCAUAUUUCUUCCUCUGCCUGCAUCACAGAGUUUUUCCCCAUAAUUUAUUUAUUUUAUUCACAUUAUACCCAAUCACAACACACUCCCUCCUCUCCUUCCAGUCCCACCUUUACAAAUCCUUCCCCCCAUUACACUCUCCAGUACUCAGAGAUGGGGAAGUCCUCCUUGGUUGCCACCCCUCCAAUUGUUAGGGGACUAACAUGAAGACCAAACUGCACAUCUGCUACAAAUGUGUAGGGGGCCUAGCUCCAGCCUAUGCAUUCUCUUUGGUUGGUGGCUUAUUCAGUGUCUGUGGGCCCCCACGGGUCCAGGCUAGUUGACUCUGUAGGUCUUCUGGUAUCCUUGACCCCUCCAGGUGAAUUCACAGAGGCUUUUAAAAAAAAUUCAGUUUGGAAAAGAGUCAGAAAAAAAAAAUUUUUGUAAAGUUAAAGAUCUGGAAUCAUGAUAACACCCAGGGUGAGGGCUUGAUUCAGAAGUCAGGAAGUGAGUCCUUGUUCAACCUUGGGCAGAUGGGGGUUUUAAUUUGUUUUUCUCAUUUUUAACCAACAUCCGUGAUUCAAGCUGGUAGCUCAUGUGGAACACUCUGUCCUUUGAUAUCCUCAGGGACAGGAGAAUUUGUAAAGCAGUGAGAAAGCAGCCAGCUCAUGAAAUAGUGGAGAGGGAUGAAAUAAGGUGAUGUUGAUGCCUGUGCCUCUUCAAUCUUGCCCUGAGUAACAGGAGUCAUGUAAAACAAGGGCUUCUUAUUCCUAACAAAUCCUUCUUCCCCCGGCUCAUCAUGGAGCUGGGCUGUAGAGUUCCACUGUGCUCUUCCUUUACUGUCAUUAGCUCACUUUCCUUUUAUUUUCCUCUUCCUACAUGACUUCACCUGUUCUCUGACUCUUGCCUAAAUAUUUUCUGAUUACUUUUACCUAUAACUAGAUGUUUUUUGUGAAGCCCGAAUCUCAAGCUGUAUCCAGAUUCUCUAAAGGUACUCCAGUCUUAUUCACACAAAAACCUAAACUCAUCUUCACUUCCCAAAAGCUGACUUCUUUUUGGUCAUCACAACCUGAAUGCUUUGCUGCCUCCUUCAACAUAACACAUGGAAAAUGACUUGAUCAUCAUCUCUAAGGCCACUAUGAGUCUAUUCCUACUCAAAUCUUCUAAAUAUCUGUUAAUAGCAGGGAAUGUAGCUUAGUUCUAGAGUUUGUAUUUAGCAUGCUUAAGACCAUAUUACAUCUAUGGUAAUGUCCAAUCUCUCUCUCUCUCUCUCUCUCUCUCUCUCUCUCUCUCUCUCUCUCUCUCUCUCUCUCUCUCUCGCACAUGCACACGAACACAAUACAAUUCGAGUACUAGUACAAUGGUAUUUCCUGCUAUUCAAGGUUAAACCUGAGAUGUCUCUCUCAUCCCUUCUUGACACUUGGAGGCAGGUUUUCGGGUUUUGUUGUUGUUAUUGUUUUUGUUGUUGUUUUAUUUUCAGUUUUAUUCCGGUAGCAUUUUUUCCUUUGGCUCCUUGUUUCUUUUGUCUACUUUGUUUACAGCCACAUCCCAAAUAACUCUUAGAGCUGCUUAGCACAUAACUAUCAAAAUUAUGGGCUGUAGAAUGAUGAUUUUGUCCCUUUAAAAUGUCAGACUGACUUAAAUAUAAGUUCU